Long non-coding RNA from Cyprinus carpio (common carp), 1188 nucleotides. The record is from Ensembl. NCBI's taxonomy places the organism in Eukaryota, Metazoa, Chordata, Actinopteri, Cypriniformes, Cyprinidae.
AAUAAAAUACAUGAAGAUAUAAACACAAAAAAAGUCAAGUAGCCUACAUAUUAAAGGAAAAGCUGACAGAAGUUUCUGAAAGAAAGAGAAAUUUUGACAGCAGUUGGAGAUGCCGAACAUUUGGUUCUCAGGGCAGUGUGUGAAAAGUGAAAACACGCACGGGACGCCAUCUAGCGGUGACUGUGCGUCACUGAAUAAUGCAGCCGCGCUGAAUGAACUCACCUCCAGACGCUCCUGGAAUCGGGAUUGGGACUCUUUACGUUCUUAAAGAAAUUCUUAAGUUCUGCCGUCAUGAGUGAGAACUCCAUCUCCAGCAGAUGGAGACGAGAUACAGCUGACCAGGAGCUGGAUGGACUAUGAGCAGGAUUUGACUCUCUUGCAGACAUGGUGUAAGAUGGAUAAAAACACAAUUCAUUCUGUGUACCGCUUACUUCCUGUCAGGGAUGGAGGAGAGGCAGCAAUAUUCAGUGCUAAAGGUGGAGUUGUGUCCAUCACAUUGAAAGCUCAACACCCUGCAGCAUCUAUUCAAGCUGUAGAGAUCAGCUCUCAGUAUUUACUGCUCUUCUGCAGCCAGGACUACAUUUCACAGGUCACCAUCACAGGGGGCGGAUCCCACACUGUGGCCCUUUGUCCCAAACCCCUCACAGCACCACCACAGAGAUUAUAAUCUGGAACCUUGAGACUGAAGACCAUAAACACAUUGCACGGUUUCCUGGCCUGCUGGCUCAUGGUGUGUGUUCUGAUCUGCAGUACUGUGUGGGUUUCUGUCCCGGGGAAGCGAUUCUUACGCCUGUGGAACCUGGGAUCCAGAAUAAAUGACCACACACUCACAUACAACGUGCACAAAGCACACAGCGAUGGCACAGCGGAGAUUGUAACCAUGCAGAGAUAGCCAAGGUACAAAGUCCACUGAACAGCUCACAUAUGGCCACUCUAUUUGCAGUUUAUAACUGUAAACACAAUGAGUUAGCAUGAGAUAUUUUUGAGGACCAGAAUUUUUAUAGCAUUUUCUGUGCAUAAUAUAACCUCAGUUACUGCUAUUGUUCUACAGACACCACCUAGUAAAGUUUUACCAUGGCAGUGAGAUUUCUGUUGCAGUAUUAUGAACUGAAUGUGUUUUCAAUACACAAUGACCAGGUUUAUUUACUUAUCAAUAAAUUUGUUCUAAUCUCAAAGAUUUGAACUAAA